AGAAGAGAUCACGAGAGCCACUGCACAGUGCCAACAAGUUCAAGGUCAAGGAAACCCAACAAUCCCUGUGGGAUUGAUGAGGAUCUGCACCAAGACAGAGGACUUGCUUUGAGGUUCGAGGAAGCAGCUAUUUAACAUAUCCAGACUCAGGACUUCCCCAUGCCAGAUUCCUAGAAAUACCUCCGUUUGGCUUUCAUUUGGGCUCCCCUCUUCCUGAGAUUGAAGGAGGAAGAUCUAUGAAUCACUGAAGCAACUGGAAGCCAUUAACACAGACAGAAGAGACACCAGGGAGCUCCACUUCUUUUUCCACGUGGAAUUCUCUCAUUAUCCUGCACAGACCCAACCCUGGAACACUGAGGGGAGCCAGAGCAAAGGGCAUGCACAUACCGGCCACAGGUUUGGCAAAGAGACUUUGGAGGAUGUGAAAGAGGACAAGGGUGUGAUGGGAUAUAUGAUGGCAGCUUUCCUGAAAUCACAACCGCUGCCCAGGAUGCUUUUCUUCAGGGGAGCAACAGCCGCCCUUCCCGCUGUCCUUUCAAUCGUAGCAGAGAGACAGCCGAG
RNAcentral lists this long non-coding RNA (561 nucleotides) under Monodelphis domestica (gray short-tailed opossum). Its description in RNAcentral is "lncRNA (ENSMODG00000034185.2)". Lineage: Eukaryota; Metazoa; Chordata; Mammalia; Didelphimorphia; Didelphidae. The record is from RNAcentral.